UAAAUAUACUUUUCAUAUGUCUGCAUUUUUCAAUCCAUGGCAUAUGAUGGUGCAAUGAGAUACUUUAAUUCGUCAAUCAUCUUGAGAAAACGUACUUAACUGGAAAUCAAUCAAUCCUCCAUCGUUAACACUAUGUAAAGUUCAAAUGCUUUAAUGUUAAGUGCGUGGGUGACGGAGAGAAACAAAAUGGUGCCAUUUGAGGUCAUGUGGCAGAGAGUGAUAAGGGCGCUGGAGGUGGGGGUGUGAGCAGGAGAAAAGCACAGUAUGGCAUCUCAGCUGAUCAUCAUGAACUUCAUGUAGUUACAGUACAUCAACCAAUACAGAUGAUUGUGAACGGCAUCUCAGAACGCACAACUCGUCUGUCCUUAUUACGGAUAGGCUAUUGCAGCAGAUAACCACACCGAUAUCCACUCCAGUCAGCUAAAAACAAGAAUAACCGGCUCCAGUGGGCACGCCAUCACCUGGACAAUUGAGGAGUGGAAAAACAUAGCCUGAUCUGAUGAAUCCUGGUUCCUGUUGCGUCAUGCUGACAGUUGAGUCAGGAUUUGGUGUAGGAAGCAUAAGUCCAUGGCCCCAUAAUGCCAAUUGAGCAACGCUUCCAUGCCCCAAAGAAUUCAGGCUGUUCUUGAGGCAAAGGAAUGUCCGACCUGGUACUAGAUGGGUGUACCUAAUAAACUGACGACUGAGUGUAUAUUUCUAUUUUAUGCAGAACUGGGAGGAUGUAAAAAGGGGAUGAGAUUACAUUAAAACAUUAUUAGGUCUAUAUUCUAAAAUGCAAUGGUAGGUAGUUGACUGAACUUUAUAAACAAAUGUGAAUAUUCAUCAUUUAUUAUUAUUAGAAUUCCAAUUAUUAUUAACAAUCAAACAAUGUUUCCCAUUUUAAAGUCAAUUAUGAGCAGGUGACCUAAUAACAUAAUACCCUCACAUCUGGCCUAUGCCUAUAUCUCUUUCAUAUCUCUUUCACACUCUAUGACACAUGCAUGCAAAGAAGACAGACUCACUCACCAAAGCUCUAAUUUUCUCCCAUUGGCACACACACUCUGCCAGCCAGUCAAGCGGAUCUCUCUCUCGACGGGCACAGUAAUAGUUCAAAAAUGGGCCCGGAAUACAGCAGUUCUCAAUACUGCCUAUAACGCUUAAUGUGCUGUUACUGUAAUAUCUGCAUAUACAGUUCCUUCAGAAAGUAUUCACACCCCUUGACUAUUCUCCAUUUUGUUGUGUUACAGCCUUAA
Long non-coding RNA from Oncorhynchus tshawytscha (Chinook salmon), 1232 nucleotides. RefSeq lists it as uncharacterized. The transcript has 3 exons. The record is from RefSeq and is a predicted model, not a curated record. NCBI's taxonomy places the organism in Eukaryota, Metazoa, Chordata, Actinopteri, Salmoniformes, Salmonidae.